This 452-nucleotide long non-coding RNA is filed under the name Homo sapiens (human). RNAcentral's name for it is "non-protein coding PVT1:65". The stretch from base 6 to 100 matches the Rfam family "Pvt1 oncogene conserved region 3". The record is from RNAcentral. Lineage: Eukaryota; Metazoa; Chordata; Mammalia; Primates; Hominidae.
GAUGCCCCUCAAGAUGGCUGUGCCUGUCAGCUGCAUGGAGCUUCGUUCAAGUAUUUUCUGAGCCUGAUGGAUUUACAGUGAUCUUCAGUGGUCUGGGGAAUAACGCUGGUGGAACCAUGCACUGGAAUGACACACGCCCGGCACAUUUCAGGAUACUAAAAGUGGUUUUAAGGGAGGCUGUGGCUGAAUGCCUCAUGGAUUCUUACAGCUUGGAUGUCCAUGGGGGACGAAGGACUGCAGCUGGCUGAGAGGGUUGAGAUCUCUGUUUACUUAGAUCUCUGCCAACUUCCUUUGGGUCUCCCUAUGGAAUGUAAGACCCCGACUCUUCCUGGUGAAGCAUCUGAUGCACGUUCCAUCCGGCGCUCAGCUGGGCUUGAGAUUCCUGGGAACACCACCAUGGAGGGCCUGGCCUUUGGCGGUGGACAGUCUGUGGCUGGGUGGGAACGUCAGGA